GUAGAGAGAAGCUUGCUUCUCUUGAGAGCGGCGGACGGGUGAGUAAUGCCUAGGAAUCUGCCUGGUAGUGGGGGAUAACGUUCGGAAACGGACGCUAAUACCGCAUACGUCCUACGGGAGAAAGCAGGGGACCUUCGGGCCUUGCGCUAUCAGAUGAGCCUAGGUCGGAUUAGCUAGUUGGUGGGGUAAUGGCUCACCAAGGCGACGAUCCGUAACUGGUCUGAGAGGAUGAUCAGUCACACUGGAACUGAGACACGGUCCAGACUCCUACGGGAGGCAGCAGUGGGGAAUAUUGGACAAUGGGCGAAAGCCUGAUCCAGCCAUGCCGCGUGUGUGAAGAAGGUCUUCGGAUUGUAAAGCACUUUAAGUUGGGAGGAAGGGUUGUAGAUUAAUACUCUGCAAUUUUGACGUUACCGACAGAAUAAGCACCGGCUAACUCUGUGCCAGCAGCCGCGGUAAUACAGAGGGUGCAAGCGUUAAUCGGAAUUACUGGGCGUAAAGCGCGCGUAGGUGGUUAGUUAAGUUGGAUGUGAAAUCCCCGGGCUCAACCUGGGAACUGCAUUCAAAACUGACUGACUAGAGUAUGGUAGAGGGUGGUGGAAUUUCCUGUGUAGCGGUGAAAUGCGUAGAUAUAGGAAGGAACACCAGUGGCGAAGGCGACCACCUGGACUGAUACUGACACUGAGGUGCGAAAGCGUGGGGAGCAAACAGGAUUAGAUACCCUGGUAGUCCACGCCGUAAACGAUGUCAACUAGCCGUUGGGAGCCUUGAGCUCUUAGUGGCGCCAUGAACGCAUUAAGUUGACCGCCUGGGGAGUACGGCCGCA
This 826-nucleotide ribosomal RNA is filed under the name Pseudomonas shahriarae. RNAcentral's name for it is "bacterial SSU rRNA". It matches the Rfam family "Bacterial small subunit ribosomal RNA", at positions 68 to 890 of the family's 1533-position model. Lineage: Bacteria; Pseudomonadati; Pseudomonadota; Gammaproteobacteria; Pseudomonadales; Pseudomonadaceae. The record is from RNAcentral.